AUGUCGAGCGGCGGCGACGAUUACAAGCGCGAGGAGUCGGUGGCGCUCAUUGUCAUCGUCUCCCUCGCUGCGCUCUCGCUCCUCUCUCUCAUCGCCGCCUUUGCUUACUACUGCUACAUCACCCGCAAGGUCUCCCGCCGCCUCAACUCGCACCCACUCCCCAAGCGCUCCUCCUCCCCUCCCCCGCUGCCCCUGCCGGCUCCCGUGAUCCCCACGCAGGGGAAGGAGAGCCCGUCCAGCAACUCCGCCAGCGAUGGGGCCGCGGCUGGGGCGCUGGUGAUCGGCGCCGAGAGGGGCGUGCAGGUGUUUGGCUACAGGCAACUGCACGCGGCGACGGGCGGCUUCGGGCGGGCGCAUAUGGUGGGGCAGGGGAGCUUCGGGGCCGUCUACCGCGGGCUGCUCCCCGACGGGAGGAAGGUCGCGGUCAAGCUCAUGGACCGCCCCGGGAAGCAGGGCGAGGAGGAGUUUGAGAUGGAGGUUGAGCUGUUGAGUCGGCUUCGAUCAUCUUAUUUGUUAGGCUUGAUUGGCCAUUGCUCAGAGGGUGGACACCGGCUACUGGUGUAUGAGUUCAUGGCUAAUGGGUGUCUCCAGGAGCAUCUUUACCCAAAUGGAGGUUCCUGUGGUGGCAUCUCAAAAUUGGACUGGCCGACACGAAUGAGAAUAGCUCUUGAAGCAGCAAAAGGUCUGGAGUAUCUCCACGAGCGCGUUACUCCACCUGUUAUACACAGGGACUUCAAGAGCAGCAACAUUCUCUUGGACAAGGACUUCCAUGCAAGAGUCUCAGACUUCGGUUUGGCCAAGCUUGGAUCUGAUAGAGCUGGUGGUCAUGUGUCAACUCGAGUUUUAGGCACGCAGGGCUAUGUCGCACCAGAAUAUGCAUUAACUGGGCAUUUGACAACCAAAUCAGAUGUGUACAGUUACGGGGUUGUGCUUCUGGAAUUGCUUACUGGCAGGGUACCAGUUGAUAUGAAGAGGCCUCCUGGGGAAGGUGUUCUAGUUAACUGGGCAUUACCUAUGCUCACUGAUCGAGAAAAGGUUGUGCAGAUCCUGGAUCCAUCACUGGAAGGUCAAUAUUCAUUGAAAGAUGCUGUUCAAGUGGCUGCUAUCGCUGCCAUGUGCGUUCAACCGGAGGCUGACUAUAGGCCACUGAUGGCCGAUGUCGUCCAAUCGUUGGUUCCACUUGUCAAGAAUCGUUCGAGUUCCAAACCGUGCAACUCAAAUGCCCAAGCAUGA
Molecule: ribosomal RNA, 1233 nt
Filed under: Triticum aestivum (bread wheat)
Lineage: Eukaryota; Viridiplantae; Streptophyta; Magnoliopsida; Poales; Poaceae
Description: partial small subunit ribosomal RNA
Source: RNAcentral